NNNNNGGGGUGACGCCCGAAUCCUCACUGCAAAUGUGAGACGAAUUUUUGAGCGGGUAAAGGUUGCCCCUAAGGUGACCCGCCUACUUUGCGGGAUGCCUGGGAGUCGCGAUCUGCCCG
Ictidomys tridecemlineatus (thirteen-lined ground squirrel) is the source of this 119-nucleotide small nuclear RNA. Its record names the gene U12. It matches the Rfam family "U12 minor spliceosomal RNA". Rfam says of the family: Although the U12 sequence is very divergent from that of U2, the two are functionally analogous. Lineage: Eukaryota; Metazoa; Chordata; Mammalia; Rodentia; Sciuridae. The record is from Ensembl.